Molecule: ribosomal RNA, 253 nt
Filed under: uncultured bacterium
Lineage: Bacteria
Description: partial 16S ribosomal RNA
Rfam family: Bacterial small subunit ribosomal RNA
Source: RNAcentral
UACGUAGGGUGCAAGCGUUGUCCGGAAUUAUUGGGCGUAAAGAGCUCGUAGGCGGUUUGUCGCGUCUGCUGUGAAAACUCGGGGCUUAACCCCGGGCCUGCAGUGGGUACGGGCAGACUAGAGUGCGGUAGGGGAGACUGGAAUUCCUGGUGUAGCGGUGAAAUGCGCAGAUAUCCGGAGGAACACCAAAGGCGAAGGCAGUGUCCUGGGGAGUACCUGACGCUCAGGUGCGAAAGCCAGGGGAGCGAACGGG